AUUGAACGCUGGCGGCAUGCCUUACACAUGCAAGUCGAACGGCAGCACGGGUGCUUGCACCUGGUGGCGAGUGGCGAACGGGUGAGUAAUACAUCGGAACAUGUCCUGUAGUGGGGGAUAGCCCGGCGAAAGCCGGAUUAAUACCGCAUACGAUCUACGGAUGAAAGCGGGGGACCUUCGGGCCUCGCGCUAUAUGGUUGGCCGAUGGCUGAUUAGCUAGUUGGUGGGGUAAAGGCCUACCAAGGCGACGAUCAGUAGCUGGUCUGAGAGGACGACCAGCCACACUGGGACUGAGACACGGCCCAGACUCCUACGGGAGGCAGCAGUGGGGAAUUUUGGACAAUGGGCGAAAGCCUGAUCCAGCAAUGCCGCGUGUGUGAAGAAGGCCUUCGGGUUGUAAAGCACUUUUGUCCGGAAAGAAAUCCUUGGCUCUAAUACAGUCGGGGGAUGACGGUACCGGAAGAAUAAGCACCGGCUAACUACGUG
Molecule: ribosomal RNA, 486 nt
Filed under: uncultured bacterium
Lineage: Bacteria
Description: partial 16S ribosomal RNA
Rfam family: Bacterial small subunit ribosomal RNA
Source: RNAcentral